This 235-nucleotide long non-coding RNA is filed under the name Elaeis guineensis (African oil palm). RNAcentral describes it as "long non-coding RNA (EGUI_LNC062409)". The record is from RNAcentral. Lineage: Eukaryota; Viridiplantae; Streptophyta; Magnoliopsida; Arecales; Arecaceae.
AAUUAAAUUGUUUAAUCUUUUAUGAUCCACUGUGAAAAAUUUUCAAAAUGCAUGCUUAAUUCGCCUGCUGUAAUCCUUCAACACCCCCACAUCUACGAUGGUGGAAGACCGCUAGAGUUAAUGUUGUGUGAGAAGAUUUUAAUUUAGGUCUCAUUGAUCUAAUUGUUUAUUUACAUCCGAUGUAAAUCCACAAUUACUAUGGAUCUACUUAAGAGAUCCUAACUUGAUUCACCAA